This 585-nucleotide ribosomal RNA is filed under the name uncultured bacterium. RNAcentral describes it as "bacterial SSU rRNA". It matches the Rfam family "Bacterial small subunit ribosomal RNA", at positions 338 to 916 of the family's 1533-position model. The record is from RNAcentral.
CCUACGGGAGGCAGCAGUGGGGAAUUUUGGACAAUGGGCGAAAGCCUGAUCCAGCAAUGCCGCGUGCAGGAAGAAGGCCUUCGGGUUGUAAACUGCUUUUGUACGGAACGAAACGGUCUGCUUUAAUACAGUGGGCUAAUGACGGUACCGUAAGAAUAAGCACCGGCUAACUACGUGCCAGCAGCCGCGGUAAUACGUAGGGUGCGAGCGUUAAUCGGAAUUACUGGGCGUAAAGCGUGCGCAGGCGGUUAUAUAAGACAGUUGUGAAAUCCCCGGGCUCAACCUGGGAAUUGCAUCUGUGACUGUAUAGCUAGAGUACGGUAGAGGGGGAUGGAAUUCCGCGUGUAGCAGUGAAAUGCGUAGAUAUGCGGAGGAACACCGAUGGCGAAGGCAAUCCCCUGGACCUGUACUGACGCUCAUGCACGAAAGCGUGGGGAGCAAACAGGAUUAGAUACCCUGGUAGUCCACGCCCUAAACGAUGUCAACUGGUUGUUGGGUGCAUUAGUACUCAGUAACGAAGCUAACGCGUGAAGUUGACCGCCNGGGGAGUACGGCCGCAAGGUUGAAACUUAAAUGAAUUGACGG